RNAcentral lists this ribosomal RNA (147 nucleotides) under Bacillus salipaludis. RNAcentral describes it as "Bacillus sp. WN066 partial 16S ribosomal RNA". It matches the Rfam family "Bacterial small subunit ribosomal RNA", at positions 1 to 144 of the family's 1533-position model. Lineage: Bacteria; Bacillati; Bacillota; Bacilli; Caryophanales; Bacillaceae. The record is from RNAcentral.
UUCUUGGAGAGUUUGAUCCUGGCUCAGGACGAACGCUGGCGGCGUGCCUAAUACAUGCAAGUCGAGCGAAUCAAUAGGAGCUUGCUCCUGUUGGUUAGCGGCGGACGGGUGAGUAACACGUGGGCAACCUGCCUGUAAGACUGGGAU